This 27-nucleotide small RNA is filed under the name Bombyx mori (domestic silkworm). Its description in RNAcentral is "ovarian small RNA-8728". Lineage: Eukaryota; Metazoa; Arthropoda; Insecta; Lepidoptera; Bombycidae. The record is from RNAcentral.
UGGAUAUUUGUCCGGGAUUGUACGCGC